GACGAACGCUGGCGGCGUGCUUAACACAUGCAAGUCGAACGGAAAGGCCCUGCUUUUGUGGGGUGCUCGAGUGGCGAACGGGUGAGUAACACGUGAGUAACCUGCCCUUGACUUUGGGAUAACUUCAGGAAACUGGGGCUAAUACCGGAUAGGAGCUCCUGCUGCAUGGUGGGGGUUGGAAAGUUUCGGCGGUUGGGGAUGGACUCGCGGCUUAUCAGCUUGUUGGUGGGGUAGUGGCUUACCAAGGCUUUGACGGGUAGCCGGCCUGAGAGGGUGACCGGCCACAUUGGGACUGAGAUACGGCCCAGACUCCUACGGGAGGCAGCAGUGGGGAAUAUUGCACAAUGGGCGGAAGCCUGAUGCAGCAACGCCGCGCGCGGGAUGACGGCCUUCGGGUUGUAAACCGCUUUCGCCUGUGACGAAGCGUGAGUGACGGUAAUGGGUAAAGAAGCACCGGCUAACUACGUGCCAGCAGCCGCGGUGAUACGUAGGGUGCGAGCGUUGUCCGGAUUUAUUGGGCGUAAAGGGCUCGUAGGUGGUUGAUCGCGUCGGAAGUGUAAUCUUGGGGCUUAACCCUGAGCGUGCUUUCGAUACGGGUUGACUUGAGGAAGGUAGGGGAGAAUGGAAUUCCUGGUGGAGCGGUGGAAUGCGCAGAUAUCAGGAGGAACACCAGUGGCGAAGGCGGUUCUCUGGGCCUUUCCUGACGCUGAGGAGCGAAGGCGUGGGGAGCGAACAGGCUUAGAUACCCUGGUAGUCCACGCUGUAAACGGUGGGUACUAGGUGUGGGGUCCAUUCCACGGGUUCCGUGCCGUAGCUAAUGCUUUAAGUACCCCGCCUGGGGAGUACGGCCGCAAGGCUAAAACACAAAGGAAUUGACGGGGCCCCGCACAAGCGGCGGAGCAUGCGGAUUAAUUCGAUGCAACGCGUAGAACCUUACCUGGGUUUGACAUGGAUCGGGAGUGCUCAGAGAUGGGUGUGCCUCUUUUGGGGUCGGUUCACAGGUGGUGCAUGCCUGUCGUCAGCUCGUGUCGUGAGAUGUUGGGUUAAGUCCCGCAACGAGCGCAACCCUUGUUCACUGUUGCCAGCACGUUAUGGUGGGGACUCAGUGGAGACCGCCGGGGUCAACUCGGAGGAAGGUGGGGAUGACGUCAAGUCCUCAUGCCCCUUAUGUCCAGGGCUUCACGCAUGCUACAAUGGCUGGUACAGAGAGUGGCGAGCCUGUGAGGGUGAGCGAAUCUCGGAAAGCCGGUCUCAGUUCGGAUUGGGGUCUGCAACUCGACCUCAUGAAGUCGGAGUCGCUAGUAAUCGCAGAUCAGCAACGCUGCGGUGAAUACGUUCCCGGG
This 1343-nucleotide ribosomal RNA is filed under the name uncultured bacterium. RNAcentral's name for it is "16S ribosomal RNA". It matches the Rfam family "Bacterial small subunit ribosomal RNA", at positions 28 to 1378 of the family's 1533-position model. The record is from RNAcentral.